GGCCUCACUAACCUCUCCUCCUCUGAGCCGGGUCUCCCUCGCACUGGACUCAGUUUCACUGUCCUACUAACACGUAGAAAAUCAAUGGCAUUACAUCAGGAGCUGUUGGUGAUUGGUGGUGUGGCUGCCAAAGACCAGCUGGCUGCUCUGGAACAGGGGAUCGACAUUGUGGUGGGAACACCCGGCAGACUGGACAACGACCUCAUAUCCACUGGGAAGCUCAGUCUGGCCCAAGUCCGCUUUCUCGUCCUGGAUGAGUGUGUAUGGUGUGAUACCAUGUUUGCCCGAACCAAGGCAGAGGCUGCUACAACACCCGGCUGAAGGAGGAUGGAGGUUGCACCAUCUGGUACAACGAGAAAGAGCUCCUGUCAGAUAUUGAGGAGCAUCUAAAGUGCACAAUCACCCAGUGUGAGCCAGACAUCAAAGUACCUGUGGAUGAUUUUGAUGGAAAGGUCAGCUAUGGUCAGCGCAGAGCAUUGGGAGGUGGUAACUACAAGGGUCACGUGGAUAUUCUGGCCCCGACGGUCCAGGAGCUGGCUAACCUCGAGAGAGAAGCCCAAAGUCUUUAGCAACCAAGCAACAUUGUGCUUUUAUUUUUCAACAUAUAAACAUAACUUAGAAAUUAUUUACAUUUAAUGUAUACUACAAGGUGGCAAAAUGCAUUUCACUACUAAUGACAAACUUCUCUACAGUCUGUGUCCACAGUAUAAAGUUCAGCAUUAGUGCUUUGGAAGUGAUUGUAAGCAUUUAGUAUGCAGAACUCCUUGGCCUUCACUACUCUGCUUGAAAGAAUAGUAUGGAAUGGAAUCCUUGACAUGUAAUGCAAAACCUGAUUUGUUGGAUUUUUGUGUUGUUGUUUUCUGAUUG
This is a long non-coding RNA of Perca flavescens (yellow perch), 867 nucleotides long. RefSeq lists it as uncharacterized. The transcript is spliced from 6 exons. Lineage: Eukaryota; Metazoa; Chordata; Actinopteri; Perciformes; Percidae. The record is from RefSeq and is a predicted model, not a curated record.